Molecule: non-coding RNA, 83 nt
Organism: Callorhinchus milii (elephant shark)
Lineage: Eukaryota; Metazoa; Chordata; Chondrichthyes; Chimaeriformes; Callorhinchidae
Source: the annotation of a RefSeq genome assembly
GCUACGAUGGCCGAGUGGUUAUGGCGUUGGAAUUGAAAUGCAAUGGGGAACUCCCAUCGCAGGUUCGAAUCCUGCUUGCAGUU